GCAUGGCUCAGGAUGAACGCUAGCUACAGGCUUAACACAUGCAAGUCGAGGGGCAUCAGGGUGUAGCAAUACACCGCUGGCGACCGGCGCACGGGUGAGUAACACGUAUCCAACCUGCCCUUUACUCGGGGAUAGCCUUUCGAAAGAAAGAUUAAUACCCGACUGGCAUAACAUGACCUCCUGGUUUUGUUUAUUAAAGUAAAUUUACGGUUAGAGGAUGGGGAGUGCGUUCCAUUAGGCAGUUGGCGGGGUAACGGGCCC
This 261-nucleotide ribosomal RNA is filed under the name uncultured bacterium. Its description in RNAcentral is "partial 16S ribosomal RNA". It matches the Rfam family "Bacterial small subunit ribosomal RNA", at positions 17 to 266 of the family's 1533-position model. The record is from RNAcentral.